GUGGGGCUCAAUGGAGCAGGCCUGUAGUCCCAGCUCCUGGAGAGGCUGAGACAAGAGGGUUGCAUGAUCCCAGGAGUUCUAGGCUGCAGUGUGCUAUUCCAAUCUGGUGUCCACACUAAGUUCAGCAUUAAUAUGGUGACCUUCCGGGAGCAGAGGACCAGCGAAUUGCCUAAGGAGGGGUGAGUUGGCCCAGGGUAGAAACAGAGCAGGUCAAAACUCCCAUGCUUGAAGUGGGAUUACUCCUAUGAAUGGCCACUGCAUUCCAGCCUGGACAAUAUAGCAAGACCUCAUCUCUU
Molecule: non-coding RNA, 296 nt
Organism: Pan troglodytes (chimpanzee)
Lineage: Eukaryota; Metazoa; Chordata; Mammalia; Primates; Hominidae
Rfam family: Metazoan signal recognition particle RNA
About the family: The signal recognition particle (SRP) is a universally conserved ribonucleoprotein. It is involved in the co-translational targeting of proteins to membranes.
Source: Rfam